AGUGAACGCUGGCGGUAGGCCUAACACAUGCGAGUCGAACGGCAGCACAGUAAGAGCUUGCUCUUACGGGUGGCGAGUGGCGGACGGGUGAGGAAUACAUCGGAAUCUACUUUUUCGUGGGGGAUAAUGUAGGGAAACUUACGCUAAUACCGCAUACGACCUACGGGUGAAAGCAGGGGAUCUUCGGACCUUGCGCGAUUGAAUGAGCCGAUGUCGGAUUAGCUAGUUGGCGGGGUAAAGGCCCACCAAGGCGACGAUCCGUAGCUGGUCUGAGAGGAUGAUCAGCCACACUGGAACUGAGACACGGUCCAGACUCCUACGGGAGGCGGCAGUGGGGAAUAUUGGACAAUGGGCGCAAGCCUGAUCCAGCCAUACCGCGUGGGUGAAGAAGGCCUUCGGGUUGUAAAGCCCUUUUGUUGGGAAAGAAAAGCAGCAGGUUAAUACCCCGCUGUUCUGACGGUACCCAAAGAAUAAGCACCGGCUAACUUCGUG
RNAcentral lists this ribosomal RNA (492 nucleotides) under uncultured bacterium. RNAcentral describes it as "partial 16S ribosomal RNA". It matches the Rfam family "Bacterial small subunit ribosomal RNA", at positions 29 to 507 of the family's 1533-position model. The record is from RNAcentral.